Molecule: ribosomal RNA, 611 nt
Filed under: Burkholderia sp. IBb362
Lineage: Bacteria; Pseudomonadati; Pseudomonadota; Betaproteobacteria; Burkholderiales; Burkholderiaceae
Description: bacterial SSU rRNA
Rfam family: Bacterial small subunit ribosomal RNA
Source: RNAcentral
CGCGUGUGUGAAGAAGGCCUCUCGGGUUGUAAAGCACUCUUUGUCCGGAAAGAAAACCAUCGCCCUAAUAUGGUGGUGGGAUAGACGGUACCGGAAGAAUAAGCACCGGCUAACUACGUGCCAGCAGCCGCGGUAAUACGUAGGGUGCGAGCGUUAAUCGGAAUUACUGGGCGUAAAGCGUGCGCAGGCGGUCUGUUAAGACCGAUGUGAAAUCCCCGGGCUUAACCUGGGAACUGCAUUGGUGACUGGCAGGCUUUGAGUGUGGCAGAGGGGGGUAGAAUUCCACGUGUAGCAGUGAAAUGCGUAGAGAUGUGGAGGAAUACCGAUGGCGAAGGCAGCCCCCUGGGCCAACACUGACGCUCAUGCACGAAAGCGUGGGGAGCAAACAGGAUUAGAUACCCUGGUAGUCCACGCCCUAAACGAUGUCAACUAGUUGUUGGGGAUUCAUUUCCUUAGUAACGUAGCUAACGCGUGAAGUUGACCGCCUGGGGAGUACGGUCGCAAGAUUAAAACUCAAAGGAAUUGACGGGGACCCGCACAAGCGGUGGAUGAUGUGGAUUAAUUCGAUGCAACGCGAAAAACCUUACCUACCCUUGACAUGGUCGGAAUCC